Molecule: ribosomal RNA, 332 nt
Filed under: uncultured soil bacterium
Lineage: Bacteria
Description: bacterial SSU rRNA
Rfam family: Bacterial small subunit ribosomal RNA
Source: RNAcentral
AGAACGAACGCUGGCGGCAUGCCUAAUACAUGCAAGUCGAACGAACUCUUCGGAGUUAGUGGCGCACGGGUGCGUAACGCGUGGGAAUCUGCCCCUUGGUUCGGAAUAACAGUUGGAAACGACUGCUAAUACCGGAUGAUGACGAAAGUCCAAAGAUUUAUCGCCAAGGGAUGAGCCCGCGUAGGAUUAGCUAGUUGGUGAGGUAAAGGCUCACCAAGGCAACGAUCCUUAGCUGGUCUGAGAGGAUGAUCAGCCACACUGGGACUGAGACACGGCCCAGACUCCUACGGGAGCAGCAGUAGGGAAUAUUGGACAAUGGGACGAAAGCCUAG